UACAUUUAGACUAAAAGCCAGUUGUAUAAAUACGCUAAACCUGUGCACCAAACCACAUAUGAGAGUAACGUAACAUUCAUCCUUCAUUCAUGAACAAUAUGCCGAGAUGUAGAGACCAUAAGAAUAUAUAAAAUACAUCAACUCGAGACGUAUGAAUCUGUUUAGUAAGGAGCAAUAGCAAUGAGGCAAGCUGUGAGCAGCAUAGUGCUCGCUCGGUGAUGAAUAAAUACAGCUCCGCAAGGAACAACAAGAAGCCAGAGAAAGGGAAAAGUAAAUAAAUCACUUUAUUGCAAGGGAAACGAUUGAAAUCACGUACCGAGAACAUUACACCUGCUUUUCAUAUGACUCAGUCCCAAUCUUUAGACGGGACGUGGUUCCCAUUUUAUGCUGUAAAUUUAAAGAGCGGAGCAACCGAGCAGGAUUCUUCGAAAUCAUCCAUUUGAACGUAAUGCAGUGUGGACAGAGCUUUGUUGGAUAGAAUCCUGUGGCAGGUCAACUGUAGUGCAAAAAUCAAAUAGCGAAAGCAUCUGAAU
Hyla sarda is the source of this 533-nucleotide long non-coding RNA. RefSeq lists it as uncharacterized. The record is from RefSeq and is a predicted model, not a curated record. The transcript has 3 exons. NCBI's taxonomy places the organism in Eukaryota, Metazoa, Chordata, Amphibia, Anura, Hylidae.